Molecule: non-coding RNA, 146 nt
Organism: Thioalkalivibrio sp. K90mix
Lineage: Bacteria; Pseudomonadati; Pseudomonadota; Gammaproteobacteria; Chromatiales; Ectothiorhodospiraceae
Source: Rfam
CUGGCCCCUGAGCUGCGAGGAUUCGAACCCGAGGUAAUCCAAAACGAUGGUUCGACUGGCAGCGCGUAGCGAUGCCAGAACGUCACCGCAGGUGACGACCCGAAGGGCGAGACACAUCGUGCCGAGUAAUCCCUCCCUCUCCGCCA